RNAcentral lists this non-coding RNA (45 nucleotides) under Schistosoma margrebowiei. The record is from RNAcentral. Lineage: Eukaryota; Metazoa; Platyhelminthes; Trematoda; Strigeidida; Schistosomatidae.
AUCCAGCUGACCAAUCCUAAAUAGGAUGAGACGCACGUCCUGAAU